Long non-coding RNA from Octodon degus (degu), 104 nucleotides. RefSeq lists it as uncharacterized. The record is from RefSeq and is a predicted model, not a curated record. NCBI's taxonomy places the organism in Eukaryota, Metazoa, Chordata, Mammalia, Rodentia, Octodontidae. The transcript has 4 exons.
UCUUCCUGGACAGAUGGAAAUUGGGCCGAUAGCGGCAGAAGGCGACUCCUCACAGGGAUGAGUGCCAGAUGUUGCUGCAGCAGCUCGCAAGCUCACGCCCCAGA